GCAGCCGUGGCCUACUGGUUAGGGCUUCAGGCUUGUAACCGAAGGGUUGCCGGUUCGAUCCCCGAACAGUAGGA
RNAcentral lists this transfer RNA (74 nucleotides) under Alosa alosa (allis shad). Its description in RNAcentral is "tRNA-OTHER". The record is from RNAcentral. Lineage: Eukaryota; Metazoa; Chordata; Actinopteri; Clupeiformes; Clupeidae.